CAUGUUUAUUUUAGGAGAUUUGCAUUGCGCAUGUGCUCUCUGCAUUUAUAAGGUCUUGAAAGAAUAUUUGUCGACCUGAAAAUUUUAAGUCGAGUCGAACACAGACGGAGUGAAAUAAAAUGAGACGUGUGUCCGUGAACUUUAUAAUGUAAUUUUUUUACUUUGUGACAUUUUUACGCACAUCGUAUUGCUAAAAAAGCGAUUAGGAUUUUCGUUUUCAGUUGCAAUACGACCUACGUAAUCCCGUAAUUUAAAGGAUACCCAGCGGUAAUCAGCCAUCCGAGUUGCUGAACAGAUGCCUCUGUACCCAAACUCCGAGACGCAACCGAAUGUCUUCUGCUUUUAAGAUUCCCACAUCGAGGUGAUGUGCAGUUCAUCUUAGACUUGCUGUCUCUAGUGGUGGAAGAGUCUGGCCAUGUUAUGGGGCAGCAGUUAAAGAAGAAGAAAGGACAGAUGUGUGCCAUGUUGAAGUAGUGGGUGGCCCUUUUGCCCGGCACACCCAGAAUUGUCCAUCUAAAUCUGUGGUCUGGAUCUACUGUAUCUUUGCCAAAUGAUCAAGAGUUUAUUGCAGUGGUGCCCUGCGUCACUGCCAUCUGUUAAGUUAACUCCAAAUGCCUGUGGUGUUGGAGAGAAGAAAAGUUCACAAGAUACCCUGAAAUGGAAUUCUGGUUAGACUGACAUGGCCACCUUUACACUGCUUGUCAAUUUUUAGAACACCUGAGUUUUUUUCCUGUUUUUCUUCAAAUUUAUUCAGUUGAAAUGCAAUGAAUGACCUAAAAUGGCGAAAAGGUAAACAGUAAACCGCUAGAAUUUUAAAUUUAAAAUUCAUAUUAGCAAAAACUGAAAAAAAAGGAAAUUUUAGAAUAUUACAAAUGGGCCUUCUUCGGGGAACAACUAAUAGGUUACAACGUACAAAGGUUUUGUAGCAAUUAAAGUAAAUUAAGUCUUGCAAAUUGAAGCAAACAAUUUGCAGAGGUGUCUCAACUUCUGUUGAUUACUUAAAGCAGAGUUGGGACACACUGUGUUACUACACCCUCUGAAGUACUACUUGGACAACAUUACACCGUAGAAAAUUGUAAAUUCCAGUGAUAAUGGCAAGAAAACGGCAAUUAACGAAUGAAACGAGACAGAACAUUAUUACCCUUAGAAGUGUAGGCCUUUCAUUUAGAGAAAUUGCAAAAAAAUUCAAAGUGUCAGUGAGUACGGUAUCCUACACAAUCCAAAGGCAAUUGGAAACUGGAGGAAGCUCUGAUAGGAACAGAUCUGGCAGACCCAAAGUCACCACCCAGUCAGAAGACAAGUUUCUGAGGGUCACCAGCUUGCACGAUAGGCACCUCACAGCACAACAGCUUCAAGCACAGCUUAACAGCGGUCGAAAAAAGCAAGUCUCGGUUUCUACUGUGAAGAGGAGACUUCGCACCGCAGGUAUGACAGGGCGAGUGGCAGCAAGAAAGUCAUUCCUUAAAGGACAACAUAAAAAAGCGAGGCGAUCAAAAAUGUUACCACAGCAUUUUGCAGCACCACGCAGUUCCUUCAAGUUGGAGUCUGUUACAUCAGGAGUUCAUCCUCCAGCAAGAGAAUGACCCAAAACAUCCAUACCUCCAGGCCAUGUCAGAACUACGUUGAAAGAAAAGAACAAGAAGGUCCACUUCAAAACAUGGACUGGCCAGCACAGUCUCCACAGUUAAACCCCACUGAGUUAUGAACUGGACAGAAGGGCGAAAGGAAAGUAACCUGCGAGUGCAACACAUUUGUGAGAACUUCUGCAAAAUUUUCUGACCAAUAUUUGAAUUCCCUUAUAGAAGAAUUCCAUGUGUGUGUUUGGCUGUUAUAUCAGCAAAAGGUGGCUAUGUGACAAAUCAAAAAUUUGAAUAAAAUCUUUGUACACUUAAUGAUUGCUUGACUUAAUUUUUUUCAUUCGCCAUUGUUUGUUCUGUGGCUUGAUCUCAUGAAACAUUAAGACAUUAAACUGCAUGCAGUUCCAUAAAAACUGGAAAAACUGAGGUGUUCUAAAACUUUAUGGCUGAUAGUGUAUGCGUAUAUUUGUUGGGAUGUGCAGAAGGGGCUGAGCGAGCUUUGGCCUGGAGACCCCCAGAGGUUUAUUAUCUCCAGCAUCCUCAACAGCUGCAUGUUUGUCAUUCUCCCUGGCCAUUUGACCUUGCAUUGUAUUUAUUGAAAAGGACAAGGCCAUCUCCA
This is a long non-coding RNA of Erpetoichthys calabaricus (reedfish), 2196 nucleotides long. RefSeq lists it as uncharacterized. Lineage: Eukaryota; Metazoa; Chordata; Cladistia; Polypteriformes; Polypteridae. The transcript is spliced from 4 exons. The record is from RefSeq and is a predicted model, not a curated record.